Molecule: RNA transcript, 1146 nt
Organism: Cariama cristata (Red-legged seriema)
Lineage: Eukaryota; Metazoa; Chordata; Aves; Cariamiformes; Cariamidae
Gene name: T-lymphoma invasion and metastasis-inducing protein 1 pseudogene
Exons: 3
Source: RefSeq, a predicted model, not a curated record
AGGUUUUUGGCAUAUAGUCAUAGACUCUGACGCGAGAGUAACGGAGUCGCUGAGUGGCAGGUGCUGACAGCUUCUGCAGUCCCCGUAACUGUUCAUUUUGGUAUCAUUUGCAAUUCUGUACCUCUAAAUGCCACAGCUCUCUUGGGGAAGGUUGCGCUGGAUACCAGUACUGCCUCGGAAGACCGUGACGCCAUGGGAAACGCGGAGAGCCAGAGCGUGGAGCACGCCUUCUACGGGGACAAGCACACCGGCCUGGGCCGCAAGCACACUUCCCGCUCCCUUCGCCUCUCCAAUAAAGCCUCUCGCCGGACGCGGCAUGCUUCUUCUGGAAAAAUUAUCCACCGUAACUCGGAAGUGAGCACCCGCUCCAGCAGCACACCCAGCAUCCCCCAGUCCCUGGCGGAGAACGGCCUGGAGCCUUUCGCCCAGGAGGCCAACCUAGAGGACUUUGGAAGCCCCAUCUGGGUGGACCGGGUGGACAUGGUCCUGCGUCCCGUUUCCUACCACACCGACUCCUCCGUCACCCCCAGCGUGGACAGCAGCACCGUCCUCACUGCCGCCUCCGUCCAGAGCAUGCCUGACUCGGAGGAGAGCAGGCUCUAUGGGGACGAGCCGCCGUUCCUGGCUGAGGGUGACGGGAGGUCCCAUCGAUACGCGGCCAACGGGACAAACUUCAUGGAGACGGCCAGCUUCAAGAAGAAGCGCUCCAAAUCGGCCGACAUCUGGCGCGAGGACAGCCUGGAGUUUUCACUUUCUGACCUCAGCCAGGAGCAUUUAACGAGCAACGAGGAAAUCCUGGGCUUGGCCGAGGAGAAGGAUGCUGAGGCCGCCCGGGGAACGGAGGCCAGCGGCAGGCCCCAGCCGCGGGGUGGCUGCCUGAGUGACUUGUAUUCCCCCAAAACCCCGAGCGCUACUGUCAAUGGGGGCCCGCGAAACGCCUUUGGAGGGUACUGCCGGAAUUUAGUGUCCGACAUCCUGGAUAUCGGGAGCCAUAAGUUGGCAUCGGUUACUGCUGAGGAUGCACCUUCCUACAGUAAUUACAACACGCUGCCCUGUAGGAAAUCCCACUGCCUUUCCGAAGGGGCCACCAACCCACAAAUUAGCCAUAGUAACAGCAUGCAAGGCAGAAGGGCGAAAACUACUCAG